Long non-coding RNA from Carlito syrichta (Philippine tarsier), 476 nucleotides. RefSeq lists it as uncharacterized. The transcript has 2 exons. NCBI's taxonomy places the organism in Eukaryota, Metazoa, Chordata, Mammalia, Primates, Tarsiidae. The record is from RefSeq and is a predicted model, not a curated record.
AGUUUGCCCAAGAUCACACAGCUGGUAAAUGAAGAAGCUGAAAUCCAUUGAUUCAAUAGAUACCAUCGAGCAGCUUCUCCUAAAUGCCAAGCACAAUGAAGCAGCUGCUAAACAACCUAACCAAAGACUAUUUAUGUCAGCUGAUGAUGUUAAAAAAACUCUGAAGAGUCAGUCAAAAAGAGGGAACAUAUGACACAGGAAAAUACAGUCAUCUGGACACAGUAAGAAGAUGACCAUCUGCAAACCAAGAAAAGCAGAACCUCAUCAGACAUGGUUCUACCAGUACUUUGAUUGUGUACUUCCCAGCCUCCAGAACUGUGAGGAAAAAAUGUCUGUUGUUUAAGUCACUCAGUCUAUGUUAUCUUGUUAUGUAGCCAGAACUGAAUAAGGCAGAAGCCAUUGUACCAACCCUUGAUGGCAUAUCUCAAAACUAACUUCUUUUUAGGUGAGAAAAAUAAACCACUACUUGGCCAGCU